Molecule: ribosomal RNA, 400 nt
Filed under: uncultured Candidatus Cenarchaeales thaumarchaeote
Lineage: Archaea; Thermoproteati; Nitrososphaerota; Candidatus Cenarchaeales
Description: bacterial SSU rRNA
Rfam family: Archaeal small subunit ribosomal RNA
Source: RNAcentral
GAUAAGCCAUGCGAGUCAACGUAGCAAUACGUGGCAUACGGCUCAGUAACACGUAGUCAACAUGCCCAGGGGACGUGGAUAACCUCGGGAAACUGAGGCUAAACCGCGAUAGGUCAAGAUUCCUGGAAUGGAUCAUGGCCCAAAUCUAUAUGGCCCCUGGAUUGGACUGCGGCCGAUCAGGCUGUUGGUGGGGUAAUGGCCCACCAAACCUGUNACCGGUACGGGCUCUGAGAGGAGGAGCCCGGAGAUGGGCACUUAGACAAGGGCCCAGGCCCUAUGGGGCGCAGCAGGCGCGAAACCUCUGCAAUAAGCGAAAGCUUGACAGGGUUACUCUGAGUGAUUUCCGCUAAGGAAGUCUUUUGGCACCUCUUAAAAUGGUGCAGAAUAAAGGGGUGGGCAA